Molecule: ribosomal RNA, 234 nt
Filed under: uncultured bacterium
Lineage: Bacteria
Description: partial 16S ribosomal RNA
Rfam family: Bacterial small subunit ribosomal RNA
Source: RNAcentral
UGAGUAACCUGCCCUUAGCUCUGGGAUAAGCCUGGGAAACUGGGUCUAAUACCGGAUAUGACUCCUCAUCGCAUGGUGGGGGGUGGAAAGCUUUAUUGUGGUUUUGGAUGGACUCGCGGCCUAUCAGCUUGUUGGUGAGGUAAUGGCUCACCAAGGCGACGACGGGUAGCCGGCCUGAGAGGGUGACCGGCCACACUGGGACUGAGACACGGCCCAGGCUCCUACGGGAGGCAG